Long non-coding RNA from Nicotiana tabacum (common tobacco), 938 nucleotides. RefSeq lists it as uncharacterized. NCBI's taxonomy places the organism in Eukaryota, Viridiplantae, Streptophyta, Magnoliopsida, Solanales, Solanaceae. The record is from RefSeq and is a predicted model, not a curated record.
UGGCUGACGAACUCUCUACUGCAGGUGCCCAGUCACAAACUCUAAACUCAUUAUUAAGAUCCUGAGUGGUCUAGGACUAGCAUUUCGUGGUAUUUCUGUUGCAACCCGUGCUCGUGACUCCACUAUUACGUAUGAAUAACUCUAUGAGAAGCUUCUUGACCAUAAGCUUUUCCUUAGACAUGGAGAGUCAAAGAAAGCUUCUAACCAGAUUACUGUUGCUGUUGCUUCAUUCAACAAAUCUGGAAACUCGAACAAUCAUCGCUCCAACAAUAACAAUGGCAGCAACCAACAAUGGUGAUACAACAAUCGCUUCAAUUUACAGAAUUAGGGGUGAUCUUCGGACACCAAUAACUCUUAUGAUGGUGUUCGCUGCCAGUUGUGCAACAAACCAGGUCAUGUUGCAAGUGAAUGCAAAUCCAAAUCUCACAAUCAUUUUGAGGCCAAGGCAAACUAUGUUUUGGGAAUGCACGCAUCAGCAAAUCCUUGGAUUCUCGACUCUGGACCAUCUCACCACAUAACUGAUAAUCCUCACAACUUGCAGGAAUACAAUGGCAUGUAGCAGGUCUCAAUGGGUGAUGGACCUGGAAAUACGGAAUCUGUUGGUGCACGGUCGGAGUAGAGACGGUCUCUAUAAGUGGCCAACAUCACCUUCCAUAUCCUCUCCUAAAGCGCAUUUGGUCUCUACCAACACAUCCAUCUUCAACUGGCAUCGAUUGGGUCAUCCACACACAAGAGUUUUAAAUUUUGUUUUGAAUAAAUUUUCGCUACAAUGAUCGCGAGGCAAAUUUUUUGUUUGUAAUUCUUGUUCAUCGAAUAAGGCUCAUCGCCAUCCUUUUCAGAAUCUUAUUUUAUCAAGUACCAAAUCGUUUCAACAAUAUUUAGUGAUUUAUGGGGUCCUUCUCCGGUUUUAUCGAUUGACAAAAAAUCAUACUACUGUA